GUAACCUUUGCAGACAUGAUGUGAUUGACAAAAAAGAUGUGAUCAGCAAAUUACCCGAUAGCCUUCUUCAUCACAUUCUUUCUUUUCUCUCAACCAUAGAUGCUAUUCGAACCUCCGUAUUAGCAAGAAGAACUUUUAAGUGGAAUCUGUCAUGUCAAGUCUCUCGUACUCUCAAAAGAUACUCUUGAGAUUCUUUCACGCGCAGAAAAUCUCCUUAUGCGCCUUCCUACAUUCCAUAAUUUGAUUCAUUUUAGUGUGGAUCAAGGAAUGUAUGACUUCACUGGCGGAGCUCUGAUGGACAUUCUUGAAAAGUCUCCUAAUCUGGAAGUUCUUGACAUUGUUGAUGUAUAUCCUGUGUUAUUAUGAAUUUGAUAUGUUUCUAGGCUAAAAAUAGUGUAAUUUCCGUUCAUGAACUUGUUUGUUGGCUCUAUACUUAGGGAUUCGACCCUGCUUUCUGCUUGGAUGGGGAAGCUUGGACGUUGAGCACAGUGCCUCAUUGUUUAAAGUCUAGUCUGAAACUGGUUAGCAUUUGGAAUUUUUUUGGUGAGGUGGCUGAGAUGCAAUUGCUUAGCUUUCUCUUAAAACAUGCGACCAAAUUGAGUAGAAUCAAGAUGUUCUGUGUGGAGUGCUUGUCAGUAGAUUUAAACAAGCAAGCAGAUAUCAGCAAUCAAUUGCAAGUAAUGCGUAAAGGCUUAGCCAGCUGUGCAAUUGAGUUCCGGUGAAUCUGAGCAGAAAUUCUGAAUCCAGGAGUCCUCUUUUUUUUUUUUUUUUUUUAAUUGGGUGAUUUCAGUGUUUCGGAAUUGACUCAAAUCACUAAAGGGCCUUGAGUCUUGGGCUGUGCUUUUUAUACGUACUUUCAUUGGGCUUGAUCUGUUGUGAUAUGAUGAUUAUGAUCAAAUUUGAAAAUGUGUACACA
RNA transcript from Prosopis cineraria, 916 nucleotides. It is a transcript of the gene named putative F-box/LRR-repeat protein At5g15620, with no coding region annotated. The record is from RefSeq and is a predicted model, not a curated record. Lineage: Eukaryota; Viridiplantae; Streptophyta; Magnoliopsida; Fabales; Fabaceae. The transcript is spliced from 3 exons.